RNAcentral lists this transfer RNA (73 nucleotides) under Methanobacteriota archaeon. Its description in RNAcentral is "Euryarchaeota archaeon tRNA-Thr". It matches the Rfam family "tRNA". Rfam says of the family: Transfer RNA (tRNA) molecules are approximately 80 nucleotides in length. Their secondary structure includes four short double-helical elements and three loops (D, anti-codon, and T loops). Further hydrogen bonds mediate the characteristic L-shaped molecular structure. tRNAs have two regions of fundamental functional importance: the anti-codon, which is responsible for specific mRNA codon recognition, and the 3' end, to which the tRNAs corresponding amino acid is attached (by aminoacyl-tRNA synthetases). tRNAs cope with the degeneracy of the genetic code in two manners: having more than one tRNA (with a specific anti-codon) for a particular amino acid; and 'wobble' base-pairing, i.e. permitting non-standard base-pairing at the 3rd anti-codon position. The record is from RNAcentral. Lineage: Archaea; Methanobacteriati; Methanobacteriota.
GCCUCAAUAGCUCAGUUGGCAGAGCAGCUGACUUGUAAUCAGCAGGUCCCGGGUUCAAGUCCCGGUUGGGGCU